This 322-nucleotide ribosomal RNA is filed under the name uncultured eukaryote. Its description in RNAcentral is "partial 18S ribosomal RNA". It matches the Rfam family "Eukaryotic small subunit ribosomal RNA", at positions 1470 to 1796 of the family's 1831-position model. The record is from RNAcentral.
CCCUUAGAUGUUCUGGGCCGCACGCGUGCUGCACUGAGUGGAUCAGCGGGUCAGGUUGCGCGAAAGUGUUUCCUAAUCUUGAAAUCCGCUCGUGAUGGGGAUUGACGGUUGCAAUUUUCCGUCAUGAACGAGGAAUACCUUGUAAGCGCGGGUCAUCAUCCCGCGCUGAAUACGUCCCUGCCCUUUGUACACACCGCCCGUCGCUCCUACCGAUUGAGUGGUCCGGUGAGGCUUUGGGAUCUGAGCAAAGAGAGCGUUUCGCUCGUUUUGCCCGGAAAACUCAGUCGAACCUUAUCAUUUAGAGGAAGGAGAAGUCGUAACA